AAGCCCGAUGCAGCAACGCCGCGUGGGCGAUGAAGGCCUUCGGGUCGUAAAGCCCUUUUUGAGGGGAUGAGGAAGGACAGUACCCUCAGAAUAAGCCUCGGCUAACUACGUGCCAGCAGCCGCGGUAAAACGUAGGAGGCGAGCGUUAUCCGGAUUUACUGGGUGUAAAGCGCGUGCAGGCGGUAUGGAAAGUUGGAUGUGAAAGCUCCCGGCUUAACUGGGAGAGGUCGUUCAAAACUACCAAACUAGAGUACAGGAGAGGGGAGUGGAAUUCCGAGUGUAGCGGUAAAAUGCAUAGAUAUUCGGAAGAACACCAGUGGAGAAGGCGGCUCCCUGGGCUGAAAC
Molecule: ribosomal RNA, 345 nt
Filed under: uncultured bacterium
Lineage: Bacteria
Description: bacterial SSU rRNA
Rfam family: Bacterial small subunit ribosomal RNA
Source: RNAcentral